Long non-coding RNA from Ahaetulla prasina, 3782 nucleotides. RefSeq lists it as uncharacterized. The record is from RefSeq and is a predicted model, not a curated record. The transcript is spliced from 4 exons. Lineage: Eukaryota; Metazoa; Chordata; Lepidosauria; Squamata; Colubridae.
GCUGUCUUUCCCCCUGAAGGCAUGAGGGGAGGACAGAGAACAGGAGGGGCUUGUGGACAAACUUAAAUUUUAAAACUAAUCUGGUGCUAGAAGGGGGAAGGCAAACGAUGUUUGAUAUGGGAUAAAAAUACAACUCCCUUAAAUCUCUUAGAGUCUGGCUUAACCUUGCUCUGACUCUGCGAAGGAAGGAUGAGCUUGAAUUAGAAACAGAAUGUUCUUUCUUGUCUAGCCUCUCUGAGCCGCCAACACUGCUCUAUCAUAGCAGUGAGACUGAGUCUUACAUAUUGAUUUCUGGCUAUUAAGGUGGGACUUUCCUCCUUUCUCCUCCAUUAAUAUGGAGAGCAAAAUACUGGAAUGGCUCCAAGACGAUCUUUGGCUGAUUGAACUCAAGGCACGAGGUGGUAGCGAUGACUUCACUGUUUUCUAUACUGAAACAAUUACAAUGAAGUAGCAACAAGGGAGAAGCACAGCAGAAGAAGGGCUCUGGGCAAAACACAAGAUUGGUGUGUUGCAGGAAGUGCUGGUCAGCUGAUGUGGAGGGCUGAACAUUACAAGGAUGGAAAAGUGAAGAUUUCUGCAGGGUUUUCCUGAGCAUUGAUGCCAAACUGAUUGGUCUGAUUUUGAAGAUUGGAACCAGAUCAGCUCUUUUCCAGACCUCUGGUAGUUCCCCCAUGCUCUAGGAACUGUGAAAGAUUUUGCUCAUCUGCCAGCACAUUCAGAACCCUGAUCCAGGGAAUUGGAACUGUAGUUGAAUGGAUUUGACUCUUGCACUACUGUAACCUAUCAGGCAGCGACUACUACUUUUCUAGUGACUACUUCGCCCAGAAGCCCUGUCUAUCCUUCCUUUCUUCACAUAUUAUAUUCUUAAAGAGUUCUUAUGGAUUGCAGCUCACCUUUACAGCCCUUUCUUCAGCUCUUGGACAGUACUUAUCCAACAGCUGUACAUAUCCAGAUGGCGUCUUGAGAGCGGUCAAAAGACUAAAAAACUAACUGUAUGUAGAUGCCAGAGGUAGAUAAACAAUAAAUCAUCUGCAGCUACCAGACUCCUUUUUGCUAGAGACCUACCAAGCCCCCCCCUAACAUUUCAGUAGCAAAAUCACUGAAUAAUGAUUAUGCAAUUCUUUGGUUUUUUUUUAGCAGAAAAUCAAAUAACAUUUAUAUUUUAUAAGCAUUUCUCCAAACUGUAGGAAAUUUCAAGGACAUUUUGUCCCUAGUUCUAAUUUUAAAAACAAGUGACCCAGAAAAGUACAAUCGCUCAAGUGAUGUUGCGCUGAAAAACUGAGGUGGCCCUGCUUUAAACAUAUAAAACCAUUUUUACAGCAGAUGAGAAACUUCAAAGCAAGGACAGACACCUUCUAUGCCAUAAUUAUACCAGCAAUAAUCUACAGCUGUGAAAUGUGGAACCUAAGAAAAUAGGAAAUAGAGAAACUGAAUAAUGCAGCAUGUGAUGGAGAGGCAAGCGCUAAAGGUCUUGUUCAGAGACAAGAAUUCCAAAAUACAAAAAUUCCUUGCAACUUCAAAUAUGUCAUCAAAGUAGCCUAAAAACAGAAAGAUGAAUGGUCAGGAAAUUUAUUCGCAUACAUGGCAACAGAUGGGCCUGAAAGAUGGCAUACUGUUCAAUCAACGACUUUGUAAAUCUAUCAAGUUGAUCACUCCUACGAGAUGGAGAGAGGAAAUACAGAAAAACCUUGAUUCCAGUUGGAAUAUCAUAGCAUAGGACCAUACGCAAUGCAAACACCUGCUGAUAUUCUUGCUUUGGACAGUGAACGCAUCUGAAUAAAUGUGAUGAUCGAAUAUCAACAUUUAAUAAAUGUCUGAAAUCGGAGAAUUCAACAAAAAAUACCAUCUGUCUAAUAAUGUUAAUUGGAUUCCUGUUUUGCCCUGUGUGAACCUUGCUUGCAAAAAAAACCCAGCAGCAGCAACAACAAUAAUGCCUUUCUUUCUUUAGAGCAGCUGUAAAUAUGAUGGGAGACCUAGGCUAGAUGUUUUCAGGGAAGGCACACUUGGUUUUCAAUACAGAGGCUUGUUCCAGCCCUUCGUGCUCAGCUAUGAAGCCUGGUGUUCAGAGUUUUGGUGACCUUAGUCUCCAUAAAUUGCUAUUUAAUACAAGACUGGCUUAUGAGUCCCAGAUCAUCUAUGAUUUAAUCUUGGAUGAGAGGCUGAUCCAGAAUACAUUACUGAAAACUGGUGUGGCACAGAAAGGAGGAUCCCUCUCUUGGAAACCUUGUAGGUUUCAGGUAUGGUACUAGCCACAGUUCCAGUACAGGCAGAGGUGGGAUGUUGCCGAUUUGGACCAGUUCAUCUGAACUGGUAGUUCCGAUUCUGUGCAGUUUGGAGAACCAGCAAAUCAGGCCACCAUCUGGCCCCGCCCUGCCCAUUUUUCAGGCUGUUUUCCAGCCAAAAUCUGCCUGAAAACGGCCUGAAAAAUGGCCUGAAAAAUAGCCCCAAAAAACAGGGCAUUUUCCAGAAUAUUUUCAGGCAGAUUUUUGAGCCGUUUUCAACCAUUUUUCAUGUGAAAAAAAUGGCCUGAAAAUGGCCUGAAAAAUGCCCACAAAACAGGCCAUUUUCAGGCUGUUUUUCCAACCAAAAUCAGCCUGAAAACCAUCCUGAAACCAUCCUGAAAAAUGCCUGAAAACAGCCCCCAAAACACCCAAAAACAGCUUACCCAGCUCUCUUCCUCUUGCAGACAGCUUUCCCAUUCUACCUUGAUGCAGUCUCUCUCUCUCUCUUUCUCUCUUUCUCUCACACACACACACACGCACACAAACAGAUUGGAUCUUUCUUUCCUCCUGCCCCCCACCCCCACCCCCGGGAUUCUCUCCCCAACCAUGCCUGUCCCAUACAGGUACCACCCACACAAGUGACUUAGAGUUGGCCAUGCCCAUUCAGUCACGUGACCCACUCCCAGCCACACCCACCGAGCCAUGCCUACCCAGCCAAGUACCGGUUGUUAAGAAAUUUGGAACCCACCACUGAGUACAGGAUUGGGAUUGUAAUUAUUGCCAAAGAAAGUCCAGUUGCCUUUGGAAAAUGCACCUUUGGGACAACUAUGAGCUGGAUGACUGAGAAUCACCAUAUACAUAUUGCCAUCUAGGAAUCUCUGGUAACUUUUAGGGUGCAGUUCUGGAUAUAAUUCAGUGUGAGACCCUCUUUGUGAAAUUGGGUGAUAAAGGUCCGAUGGAAUUGCUAAAUUGUGUACAGUACUAGCUUCCCUGCUGUGUAGCAGCUUCCCUGCACAAGUCCCUUGACCCUAUGGACGAGUUGGCAGUGGAAUCCUUCAUUGGAGGGAGAAAGAUCCUAUUCAUUUGCUUUGACCCGGUGACUGACAAACCCAGUUGGGUUUCAGAGGGAAUUUGGAGUUAUCUCUGAAAUGCUAUUGCAUAUACUAGCUAAGGCGUUAGUUGCUUGGAAUGAAUAGUGGACAAUAGCCUUUGAUCAGAUUAGCACUGUGUAGAUUCUCUAUGAUCGAGGAACCAGUAAAUCUUCCUUGUUUCCCAAAAGCUCCUGCAGAUUAAAUGUCACAAUAUGCCUCGAGCACUGCUAGAGGAAGAUGAAGGGCAAAUCUGACCAAGCACAGGUAAGAGCCUUCAUUAAAACUUACCUGGAAGCAGAAACAACAGCAAAGCAAGCUCACUUCUUGGCUCUUAUUGCACUUGCAGAUAAGGUAACCAUCAGUCCUCUUUCAGAUGACCACAUCAGUUUCAUUUAAUUAGCCCUGAGGAAAAAGCACACUUGGACUGGUGUGCUCUGCCACCUGUAUUUUAGAUGCCCUACCUCAGGGG